RNAcentral lists this ribosomal RNA (399 nucleotides) under Triticum aestivum (bread wheat). Its description in RNAcentral is "partial small subunit ribosomal RNA". Lineage: Eukaryota; Viridiplantae; Streptophyta; Magnoliopsida; Poales; Poaceae. The record is from RNAcentral.
AUGGAGGCGUUCACGGCCGCGAUGUGCAGGCUGCUGUCUCCUCCGGCUCCGGCCGAGUGCAUGCGCGCCAUCAAGACCCUGCUCCUCGUCUUCUUCCCUGAGUCGGACCCUCACCUGAGAUCCAUAGGCCGUGCCGUCGAGGACGUUGUCACCCGCGGUGAGACUGAAUGUCUUGAGUUUUACAUACACUCGACAUGUGCGAAAGAAGAUGGCGGGGUGCGUACCCAGUCCGCGAAGGAGUUCAUGUCCUUCUCCUGUGCCUGCCCAGUUGCGUUCCGGUGGCUCACCGCGCUAAUUCUCACACAACUUGUGUUCGGAGACACCGAUGUGGCCGACAUCAUUAGGGCUUGCGAUAACCUCAAGCACCUCACCUCACCCUUAGAUUCUGCACACUGGUAG